RNAcentral lists this long non-coding RNA (221 nucleotides) under Medicago truncatula (barrel medic). RNAcentral describes it as "long non-coding RNA (MTRU_LNC001010)". Lineage: Eukaryota; Viridiplantae; Streptophyta; Magnoliopsida; Fabales; Fabaceae. The record is from RNAcentral.
CAUAUAUACCCUUUUUUUGGGUUAGUAAAUAUUUUAUCGAAUCACAUUAUGCCUAGCAUAAUUAGUAUACACUCCCCAUCUUCUAGAAGGAUUUGAGAGGAUACUCAAAUUAUGUGCUACUGUUAUUACAACCAAGGUAGGGGAAUGCGAGUGAAAAGGAAGCCAACAACCGCAGCGGUUAUGAAGAACAAAAGAUGGAACUUGUGUGUGACUAUCAUGCA